RNAcentral lists this long non-coding RNA (728 nucleotides) under Malus domestica (apple). RNAcentral describes it as "long non-coding RNA (MDOM_LNC010723)". The record is from RNAcentral. Lineage: Eukaryota; Viridiplantae; Streptophyta; Magnoliopsida; Rosales; Rosaceae.
AGAACUAUUGCUCCGUGGUAUUACAAGUUAGGAACCAACACUCACAAACUUUUAGUUCAGGAACGAAAACUUCAAUUGAGCUAAAGUUAAGAGACUAUUGCUUCAAAUAUCACACAAAAUCACAUCCAUAUGGAAAACUGAGUUAGGCCAAUGAUUCAUUUUACUCCAUUAUAAACAAAACAAAACAAAAAAAGGUUAUGAGGAAAUGAGGUUUGUAUAGAAAUGGUGACACAUCACGCAUACCAAACGUACUUUGCCUUCUCUUUGCCUACCCCUUUCUAAACGUAGACAAUGCAAUCAAAACUAGACAAACAAACUACAAAAUUAGCAACUCAAUCAUACAUUAAAUCUUUUCUACAACAAUAUCAACAGCUUGGUAAGACUCAAGAAACCCAGAUCAAACGUCGCGUUCCGGAUUGAAACUCUGUAACUUAGAUUAGUAAUAUCGCUUUGUAAUAUAUUAAAAAACCCAGAACAAUAGUCGUGCACAAAUCCUAAUGAGGGUUACAUAAAAACAAGAUUCUCAUAAUUUUUUUUUUUUUUUUUGGUUUAUAAAUGAGAAAAUUAAAAAAGUAAUUCUCAUCAAACACCAUGCUUGUUAUCGUACAACAAAAAUAAAAGGAGAAAAUUUAGAAUUUUAGAAGUGAAAAAAUCGAAUCAUCGAUCAUCAUGCUUCAUCAAACGAUCAACGGCAUUAAAAUAACAACGAACAAUCAGAGGCAUAGAGC